AGCACUCCCACAUGUUAUAUGUCCCUAAAUAGCUCUUCACUGGGUGCCCUCACUGUCCAAAAAUAACAGUCCUGAUCCAGCAAACAGUUCCAGAGCAUUUCAGGGUAUCUCCUGGUGAAGCACUCGAUGCAUAGGAUGGAUCCAGGCAAUCCACAGAGGUCCCCAAUUCCGGCUGGGAGGCAGCAUGGACUAAUAAGCUCCUUUUAGUCCAUGCUGGGAUGAGGUUCCGUGACAAGGGCUUUUAUCCCUCUUAUACUUGAACCUAGGAUUUUAUGUAAAC
This is a non-coding RNA of Pelobates cultripes (western spadefoot toad), 280 nucleotides long. Lineage: Eukaryota; Metazoa; Chordata; Amphibia; Anura; Pelobatidae. The record is from the annotation of a GenBank genome assembly.